RNAcentral lists this ribosomal RNA (591 nucleotides) under Triticum aestivum (bread wheat). Its description in RNAcentral is "partial small subunit ribosomal RNA". Lineage: Eukaryota; Viridiplantae; Streptophyta; Magnoliopsida; Poales; Poaceae. The record is from RNAcentral.
AUGGCCAAGAUCCAGCCCCUUCCUUCCUCUCCCUGCUCCAUCUCUUCCUCCGAUGAUCACCAGCAGGGCAGACAGGCGUACACGCUCUGGAUGAAGUCGCUGGUGUUCAACGGCAACGGCUGCGCGGUGUACGGCCCAGACGGCGCCGUCGCCUUCCGCGUCGACAACUACGGCUGCAGGGGCGGCCGCGAGGUCCUCUUCAUGGACCGCGCCGGCAACGCCCUCAUCAGGAUCAGGCGCAAAGGCGGCAUGUUCAGGAGGUGGGAGGUCUGCCGGUGUACCCACGACGGAGGCGAGGGGGACGAGGCGACUCCUUGGUUCAGCGUGCGCCGGGCCGAGAAGGGCGGGGCCGCAGUCACGAUGCACGACGGCGCGGGGACGUGCUACACGAUGGACGGAUGCUCGCGCAAGCCGGAGUACAGAAUCCGCGACGUCGAUGGCAUGGUCGUGGCCGAGGUGGCGCGGAAGCAGACGGCGGCGGGUGUGGUGCUCGGAGACGACGUGCUGACGCUGACGGUGGGGCCGGAGGUGGGCCACCUGCUCGUCUUGGGCUUGGUCGCCGUGCGUGGUCUCAUGAACGGAUCCAUGUGA